AUUUUAAAAGGGGUAUAUCCCGGCUGCUGUGUGGAGAAUGGAGAAGAGGAGGCAGGGUAACCACGGCCAUGACAUCUUCCGCCUGGUUCAGGAUACAGACAAUGAACACAAAAGUGAAUGCAUUCAAGAGGUACUUCAGUGGUGGAAUGAAUUGAAUUGGGGAGAAGGAUAAGAAGAGAGUCUAGAAAUAUGCUUAUAUUUUUGGAUUAAAUAUAUAACAGAUAGUAGAGAGUUUUACUGAACUAGAGACAACUAGAAGGCAAAAUUUUUAGAUGGAAAAAACUACAUAUCUUAGGAUCACAAAGGUGACCUAAAACUGAACAGCUAACUGAAUACUAAGUAUUUAAUUAUCAAUAAUUUUACUUGCCCUUCAUAGGAUUAUAAGAGUUCUGGGUAGAUGAUUCAGAUGGCCCAUUUCUUACUAAAACUUUCCCAAUUUUGCAUGAAUAUCUAAGGCAUCUGAAAUAGAAUUAUUUUUAAAUCUGGAUGUGCUCAGGAAUUUAUUUCUCAUGAAGAAAAAAAGAAAAGCCAUGUUUAAGGGAAAGGCUGAACUAGUCUAUCUUAUAUCUUGUUGAAUUCAUAAUUGUAACCAGAAUUUCUAGUGGUGGAAAUAAUACCAUCAGGAAACAAUAAGAGCUUUAGGCCUUUUCUUCUCAUCUAUCCCUUUUGCCACUAACUCUGCCACUGUAAUUUUCAGUUUUGGCUUAAAAUUCUGUGUUCUCUGCACAAUAGGCUAUGGCAUUAUGUCUUUCCCAGACUCAUAAACCCCUAAGCUGCCAUCUGCUCACCCAAAACUGCUUUGAAUAUCCAUUCUCUAAACUAAAGCCCACAUUUAUUACCUCCAAAGAUUUUUUCCAUACUACAACCACAUAUUUGGGUUCAAUAAUCCAAAAAUCAAUCAUUCAUUCAAGUUUAGUAUAAUACUUACUUGAGGAAAGCAGUCUGCCUAAGUGCUGAGCUGAAAAGACAAACAUUAAGUUACUGUAUCUCACAAUGAUUGAAAUCUUACUGGAUUGAUAGCAGAGUGCUUUGCACAAUUUUGGGAAAACUAAACAAGUGUAAAAUUUUUAGGACCAAGUUUUAAAGUAACUUACCAAUAUGUUACCAUUUAACAUUUCUAAUAUAGGCCUUUAAGAAUCUUACUGGCUUGCACAGUUGUCUUAUCCAUUAAUAAAGGGGCAAACAAUAAGAUAAAAUCUAACAGAUCUUAGCCUCUUAAUUUAGUAGUAACAUUGAAAGCUUACAUUAACAAAUUAAAUAUAGAGCCUGAUCUCAAGACUUUUAUAAAUUCAAAUGCUUAAAAGUUAAUCAAUUAAUCUUUCCGUUACACUUGGAGUAUCUCUUCACCCCAUCACUUUCACCCCCUCCUAGCCCUGAAGGAUCAUUAGAGACAAGAUGCAUGUUACGAUUAGUAACUGUAAAAAUGAGAUAUGUUAUUAACAUUUCUCCUAAAUGGCAAUGCCAUUCUGUCUUGCCUAACCUUUAUAAGUUGUUUUCAAGUGAUUAUGCAAUUCUAUUCAGAUUUGGGGAGAAUUACACAAAAUCUUAUAUAUGUGACAAAUAUACAAAUAUUAUAAAUAUUUGUCACCUUUUCAGAGGUGAAUAAAAACGGGAUAAAAUCUGGGGCGCCUGGGUGGCUCAGUCAGUUAAGCAUCGGACCCUUGAUUUCAGCUCAGGUCAUGAUCUCACAGUUCGUAAAUUGGAACCCUGCAUUGGGUGUCGUGCUAGCAGUUUUGAGACUGCUUGGGAUUCUCUCUCUCUCUCUCUCUCUCUCUCUGCCCUUCCCUGACUUGCCCUCUUUCUUUCUCUCUCUCAAAAUAAGUAAAGUUAAAAAAAAAAAAAAAGAUAAAAUCUUAGAAGGCAUCCAUGGAUCAUAUUUAUUUAUCAUAUUUAUUGCUUCUGUGAUAUAUUUCCUGGCCUGGUGCCAAUUAAUUUGCAAUUAAUUUGAAUUGUGUAAAAUUUAUAAUGCUAACAGGUGCUUCUGGUUUAGGAUGGCAAAUUUGGCACAAAUACUUACUCUUCUUACUCAUAAGUUCAGAAAAUCUUGUAGAUUUUACAAAAGCAUACACUGCCAGAACAAAUAAAACCAGAAUUGUGAGGAAAAAUUUGUAAAAGCUAUCCAGGAAAGUCAUGGUCCAAGUAUGAUGUGAAGUGUUCAAAUCAGAAUAAAAAGUCAGCAGGUGUAAGAAAGAAGAAUGCAAUGGAUACCAAGAAACAGAAUAAGUGAAUGAGAUGCUGAAAUAAUAGAUACAGUGAAAAGAAAAAAAUAAAAGAUAAUAAGAAAUUACAGGGGGAAAAAGCUAUAUAAAAAAAGCACAAAAAGAAAUGUAGAAAAUUAAAACAUGCUAUGAUUUUGAGAAGUCAACAAAUGGUGUGUAUUGCUUUUUUCUACAUUUCAUUGGCCACAACUCAACGGUGGCAAGCUGUAGUAGUAACUAGAAACUUUGAUUCGUUUACUAGAAAUAAAAGCUUGAUGAGCACUUAGGCCUAUUUUACAGUUUCUGUGAAAUGGUUAACAGUUUAAACUCUCAUUUUUUUAUUCCAUCAUUCUCAGAUAUGAUCUUUUGACUCCUUUGCAAGAUGACAGUAUUAUCAUUUUCCUACCUCUCAUCACCCUAUCAUCCAGUUUCUGCUACAAGUACAUUAUAUUUUUUAUUGCAUGGUUGGUAAUAUUUACCUUAUAUUCAAUAACAAUCAAGUUUGCUGUCUUUUGAAUAUUGGUUAAUUAUAAAAGUUUAUAGUCCAUAAGAGCAUUUAUGUCAUUAUAACUAUAAAAUAUUGUUCAUUACAGAGCCACAUUUUGUUCUAUUAUUGUAUUCUUUUUCAGACCUAUUUGCAUGCUCAUAGGAGAGUAUAUUUAAUGGAUUUUUCCUGUCUAAUACCCUUUAAACAAUCUGAACAACAAAGAGGAUAGAUAGAUAGAUAGAUAGAUAGAUAGAUAGACAGACAGACAGACUGUUUGGAACUAUAACAAAAGAUGUGAUGUCCUUGCCAUCAGAGACACAAGAGCAGAGAAAGUGAUGAGGCUGGAAAAGUACUAAAAGAACUCAUGGCUAAACACUUCCCAAAUGUGGCAAGGAACAUAAAUUUUCAUAUUCAAGUUGUUAAGUGAACCCUAAACAGGAUAAACCCAAAGAAAUCAGUGCCAAGGCAUAUCAUAAUGAAAGCUUAAAAACUAAAGACAAAAAAAAAUCUGGAAAUGGCUAGAGAAAAAGAAUGUCUUACCAUAGAGGGCAAAAGGGAGUGGCACAGUAUUUUUCAAGUGCAAAAACAACAGUAAGAAAUCCUGUCUACCUAGAGUCCUACCAAUUAAAAUAUUCUUUUUUUUUUAAGAAAAAUUCAAGAUAUCAUCAGAUGAAGGAAAACUAAGAAAAUGUGUUGCUAAAGAACACAGUAAGCAAAAUUACAGGUAAAUAAAAUAGACUUCCCUUCUCUUUAGUUUUUAAAAUUAUGUUUGGUUGAAUCAAAAAUUCUAACAUUGUCACAUUGAUAUGGUUUUAAUUAUAUGUAGAGGAAAUACUUUCAAAAAUUAUAAAUGGGGGUAGAAUAAAAGGAGAAAAAGGGAGCUAAGUCUUCUGUAUUUCACUUAAACUACUGAAGAAAUGACAUCAGUGGACUGUGAGACAUAUCACAGUACAGCCAUAGAUUUAACACAAACACACGUACACAUAUACACAUACUUAAGGUAAUAGAACAACCACUAAAGAACCAUACAGAGGGGCGCCUGGGUGGCGCAGUCGGUUAAGCGUCCGACAUCAGCCAGGUCAUGAUCUCGCGGUCCGUGAGUUCGAUCCCCGCGUCNNNNNNNNNNNGGCUCUGGGCUGAUGGCUCAGAGCCUGGAGCCUGUUUCCGAUUCUGUGUCUCCCUCUCUCUGCCCCUCCCCCGUUCAUGCUCUGUCUCUCUCUGUCCCAAAAAUAAAUAAACGUUGAAAAAAUAAAAAUAAAAAAAAAGAACCAUACAGAAAGACAGGAUUAUCAAAAACAAUAUAGGGGCACCUGGGUGGCUCUGUAGGUUAAGUGUCAGACUUCAUCUCAGGUCAUGAUCUUGCGGUUUGUGAGUUCGAGACCUGCGUGGGGCUCUAUGCUGACAGCUCAGAGUCUGGAGCCUGCUUUGGAUUUGGUGUCUCCUUCUAUUUCUGCCCCUCCCUCACUCGCAUUCUCUCUCUCUCAAAAAUUAAUAAACAUUAAAAAAAUUAAAAAAACAAUAUAGAUAAAUUCAAAUGGUCAUCUAAAAAUGUAAAUAAAACAUAUCAAAAUUUGAAGGACACAGCUAAAUCAGUACUGAAAGAAAAAUUCCUAGCACUAAAUAAGUAUGUGUAUGUAAGUACAUAUAUAUUUGCUUUAAAAAUAGUGGAUUGGGGUGCCUGGGUGUCUCAGACGGUUAAGUAUCCGACUUCAGCUCAGGUCAUGAUCUCACAGUUCGUGAGUUGGAGCCCCACAUCGGACUCUCUCCUGUCAGCACAGAGCCUGCUUGAGAUCCUCUGUUCCCCUCUCUCCCUGCCCUUCCUCCAUCAAGAAUAAUAAAUAAACAUUUAACAAAUAAAUAAAAAUUUAAAAAAUAAAAAAGUUAAUGGAUUAAAACUCUUAAUGGUUGGGGCACCUGGGUGUCUCAGUCAGUUAAAUGUCCAACUCUUGAUUUUGGCUCAGGUUAUGGUCUCAUGUACAGUUCGUGGGAUGGAGCCCUACAUGGAUGGAGCAUGGGGCUCCAUGCUGACAACAUGGAGCUUGCUUGAGAUUCUCUUCUCUCUUUCUAUGUCCCACCUCCAACCCCCCUCUCAAAAUAAAUAACUAAGCUUAAAAAAUCUUCAGGGUUAUACACAAAAAUAUUUUGAAACAUGUCUAAGUUAUGAUACAUUGUAUAUGCGUUAUGUAUAUAUGUAUAUGUAUUAUGUAUAUACAUAUACAUACAUAUAACCUAAAUACAUUAAAAAAUAUUUUAAAGUAUAACCUUUAAGAUUUUUAUUCCACUAACUUUAUAAACAACAUAUUUUAUAUAAAAGUAACCUUAGUGUUUGACUGGUGAAGGAAACUAAACCUGAUACCUUUGGUUCCAAAGGCUGAGUGUGUUGCAUUAAUUGAUGUCCUGGCUCUUGUCCCCUUGGGAAUGUUUCAAAUAUCCUAGGUCUUUUCACUGCACUGCAAUAAUGGACACACAUUGUAAACCGAGAUUUCAUACAUGAAAAGGAUUUGUCUACCAAAAACAACUUAACUAAACCUCUUUUUCUAUACCCUUUUUUGCUAUCAUCAUCUCCCUUCCAUGAUCAUUAUAGUCAUUGAUGGCUAUGAAUUCCAUAAAAGAAUAUCAAUUUAACAAUUUGGACACAGAAGGUACUAAGACCAAAAAGUUCAAAUGAGUGUGUGACUGAUGAGAGAAGGAGGAACACAAGGAUCUUCUCAGGAUCAUCAAGUAAACCCAGUGAGAGCUUAAUGGAGGAAGGUAAUGGAUUAAAACCCCAGUGCUUUUAAAUUAACAUUGACUACAUUCACUGGGUAUGCUGGAAUAGAAAUUUCAUCCUGGAACAGAAAAGAGAUAUUCAUGGAAAAUACUGAAGAAUCUCAACAAAAUCUAGGUUUUUUUUUUUUUAUUGUAAAGUACCGAUGCUAAUUGCUUAUUUUAACCAAGUGUGCCUUGGUUAUGUAGGAUGUCAACAUAAAGGAAAAAUGGAUGAAGAGUGUUCAGGAACUCUCUGCACAUUCCCUGUAACUCUUUUACAAAUCUAAAAAUAUUUCACAAUGUAAAGUUUUAUUAAUAUAAAAUUAACAUUGAAAUUUUGUAUACAAAGACAAAGACUUCACAGUAAGGGCUUUGAAGCAUGAAAUGCCAUUCUAGCAAAACCCCAAUACAUUGGUGAAGAGCAAUACAGACUUAAAAGAGAUAGGCCAGAACAUACUGGAAUCACACUUUCAGUCAUAUUACUUAAAGAUCAUCAUUACUUUCUUCCUAACUGGUAAAUCUAGAAUUAAAUAAGAACAUACCACAUAUUUUAAAUAAUUUCACAUAGAUAAUAAUGUGCAUUAAUUUAGUGCCAGAAUAGUUACACUCGGGAGUUGCCUGUGCUUGCUGUAUGCAUUAGAAAUGGCAUAAAGAAGGGGCACCUGGGUGGCUCAGUCAGUUAAGUGUCCAACCUCAGGUCAGGUCAUGAUCCAUGGGUCAGGUCCAUGAGUUCAAGACUGGUGUCGGGUUCUGUACUGACAGUUCAGAUCCUGGAGCCUGCUUUGGAUUCUGUGUCUCCCUCUUUCCUGCCCCUCCCCCACUCAUGCUCAGUCUCUCAAAAAUGAAUAAAUUUUAAAAAACAAAAAAAGAAAUGGCAUAAAGAACCUCCAAAGUUCCCAGAAAAAGGACAUUUAUAUGCAAAUAUGAAGGUUAAGGAAAACACUGUAAAAUACUUAGACUAAAUGAAGGUGUCUAAUCUCUGAAGUAAAGCAUAAAAAGUGAGAAGCCAUUGUGGCAGGCUAAGCAGCUUGGCUUCUUAAGUUCCACCGGCAAUAUAAAUUCAAUUUUUCCUCCACGCUAAAGAAUUAAAGUCCCAUAAGGGUGAAAUCUCUUCAAGCCACUUACCAUAGUUUUUCCUUUGAACAGAUUAUAAUUCUUUUCAGGAAGGAAGGAAGGAAGGAAGGAAGGAAGGGAGGAAGGAAAAGAAAGAAAGAAAAGAAAGGAAGGAAAGAAGAAAGAAAGAAAAAGGAAGAAAGAAAGAAGGAGAAAAAGAAACAAACUCAGGAAAAAAUUAAAAAAAAAAAAAUCCAGAAAUGUAGGCCUGGAUUCUUUCCCCUGAUAUUUUUGUACAAAGUACAGAAAGGGGAGAUGGCUGUCACUGUCCAGCCACUGUUAAUAAACCUGUUAUUGCUUCUAUACUUUCAGCACAUCAUUAGAAAGUAUAUACAAUUUGAUUCAAAAGUUAGAAAACAUGAGUGUGGCCAGUGGUAUUUAGUGUCAUUCUGCUCCUUCAAGGGAUUGGAAGAAAAAUUGUGAGAAAAUUAGUAUCAGCCUGCAACAUCCUUGCCCAGAUACAGUGUGAAUCUGGGGAAGAUUGUUCCCUGUGUUUUUUGAGGGGCUAGCUCUCAAAUGCAUAAUUCUGAAAAAUGAGUUAACUUUCUUUUUCUUUUUUAAGAUUCUGGAACAGUAUUGGAAGCAAAAAUAAUGAGAAAAAGAUGACUAUAAUUUAAAAAACAGACGCAUUCAAUCCCAUUUUCUUCAUAGAGCACAUACUAAAACAUAAAAGAAGUUCCAGGGUAAAUGUCCUAAAUAAUAGAACUAGUUAAUACCAUACAAACUGAGAUAACUUAGGGGUGCCUGGGUGGCUGAGUCAGUUAAGCAUCUGACUUCAGCUGAGAUCAUGAUCUUACAGUUUGUGAGUUGAAGUCCCCAUCAGGCUCUGAGCUGUCUGCUGUCAGCUGACAGCUCAGANNNNNUGGAGCCUGCUUUAGAUUUCGUGUCUCCCUCUCUCUCUGCCCCUCCCCCACUUGCUCUCUGUCUCUCUCUCUCUCUCUCUCUCUCUCUGUCUCUCUCUCUCUCAAAACUGACUAAACAUUAAAAAAAAAACUGAGAUGGGUGUUGAAGAGAGCAUCUUUUGGGAUGAGCACUGGGUGUUGUAUGGAAACCAAUUUGACAAUAAAUUUCAUAUAUUAAAAAAAUAAUAAAAUAAAAUAAAAUAAAAAAAAACUGAGAUAACUUAUAUUUGGAGAUGAUAAUUUUUAUCCCUUUCAUUAUAGCAGAUUCUACUGCAUAAAGAUUGAAUAAAAUAUCUCAACUACAAUGAGAUAUCACCUCAUACCUGUCAGAAUGGCUAGAAUCAACAACACAAGGAACAACAGUUGUUGGUGAGGAUGUGGACAAAAACAGACACUUGCAUACUGUUGGUAGAAAAGCAAACUGGUGCACCCACUGUGGAAAACAGUAUGGAGUUUCCUCAAAAAGUUAAAAAUAGAACUUCCUUAUAAUCCAGCAAUUACACUCCUAGGUAUUGACCCAAAGAAUAUAUGAAUACUAAUUCAAAGAUACAUGCACCUCUAUGUUUCUAAUAGCAUUAUUUACAAUAGCUGAGCUACAGAUGCAGCCCAUCAAUAAAUGAAUGGAUAAAGAAGAUGUGGUAUCUAUAUGAUGGAAUAUUAUUCAGCCAUAAAUAAGAUAGAAAUCUUGCCAUUUGCAAUGGCAUGGAUGGAGCUAGAGUAUACUACUGAGCGCAACAAGUAAGAGAAAGACAAAUACCAUAUGAUUUCACUCACGUGUGGCAUUUAAGAAACAAAACAAACACACAGAGGGAAAAAAAAUAGCAGAGAAAGAGACAAAUCAAGAAAUAGACUCUUGGGGCGCCUGGGUGGCGCAGUCGGUUAAGCGUCCGACUUCAGCCAGGUCACGAUCUCGCGGUCCGUGAGUUCGAGCCCCGCGUCGGGCUCUGGGCUGAUGGCUCAGAGCCUGGAGCCUGUUUCCGAUUCUGUGUCUCCCUCUCUCUCUGCCCCUCCCCCGUUCAUGCUCUGUCUCUCUCUGUCCCAAAAAUAAAUAAACGUUGAAAAAAAAAUUAAAAAAAAAAAAAAGAAAUAGACUCUUAACUAUAGAGAACAAACUAAUGGUUACCAGAGGGGAGGUGGGUGGGAGGAUAGAGGAAACAGGUGAUGGGGAUUAAAGAGGGCACUUGUGAUGAGCACCAGGUGUCAUAGAGAAGUAUUGAAUCACUAUAUCGUAUACCUGAAACUAAUAUAACACUGUAUGUUAACUAACUGAAAUUAAAAUAAAAACUUAAAAAAUGACAAAAAUGAGUAAAAUAAACAACUGGUCUUGUUGGGCAGAAACGCAUCCCCUCAGUAACACUUUGUUGGUAGUAAGCUUGCUACUUGGAAGUCUUCUGAGGACCACUCAUUUCUCCCGGUUAUAUCUAUGCCUUUAAAUCAGGUUACUAUGAUAAACAAGCUCAAGAGAGCUUAAUAAUUAAUGUAUAUAUGACUUAUUCCAUUAAAAAAUUAAAUUUUAGUCAUAAAAUUUUAUAUAGGAAUGUACUCUAUAAUUCUGAUAUUAAAAUGAUGUACAUAUAUCUAGAAUCAUUCAAAGAUGUAUUCUUCAAAACAUUAGAAGAUUGAGACCAAUGAAUUUGGUCUCAAUAUAAAACACUGUUGGUAUCUAUAAACUUCACUAUUCUUCAGAUAAUUCAUAAUUAAAAAAACAUUAAAAUUAAAAUAUUUUAGAGUAAUUCAUUAUCUCAUGCUACUGAAUUAGGGCAAUUUGUAAAUUAAUAGUCUAGUCUGACACAAGAAAAGUGAACUUUCUUAUUACAAUCUCAUAAUUUUGCAUCAAAAUGCAAAAAUAGCCAAGUGAUUCAAAACUGUAGAAGCAAUGUAAUGCAAUGAAUGGAUACCACACACACACACAAAAAGAGUUUUUACAGAUUUAAGAGGCUGGCACACUCUUCUCUCACUAGGAUAUAAUUAAUUACAUGGUCAGGAAUCUUUAUAUGUUUUAGUCACUACCUUACACAAAGAUCCAAGGCAGAGCUCAAAAUACAUGCUUUAAUCUCCAUUUUAUGACUAAAAUCUAAAAAUCAACUAAGGUAAACAUUGGCAAAGAAGAAUUAGCUAAUUUUUUAAAAAUAAGGCCUCAAUUUCUACUUCUUUCGUCAAAAGACAAACCAUAUUAGAUUUAAAAUAAUAAUUAUCAAGGAAAAUGGCAACCCAAAAGUAUGAUGAGUCAUAAUUUCACAUGGAUUGUUUGUAAUACUCUGUCAUAACUGUAAUUAUUAGAUGGCCUCUGAAAUCAGACCAUCUAGUUUCUAAUCCCAGAUUUAACAAAUUGCUGUGUGACCUUGGGCAAGUCACUUAAUCUUUCUGUGCCUCCUUUUCCUUACCUGUAUUUUUCAGACAGUGAUAAAACCUACCUCAUGGUGUUGUCAGGACAAUUAACUGAAACAUAAAACUGCUAUCCAAGUGUUAGUAGUAGUAGUAGUAGUAGUAAAUAGUGAUAGUAGCAGCAGCAGUGGCAGCAUGUCCCUAACAAGUGUUCAAAGUCAUUCUGUAGGGACACCUCUAAUCGAGGCGGAAUGUACUAAGACAGAAUUUUGCUUCACAGAUGAAAUGCAUAUUUAAUAACAACUCAUCCAAUUUCUACGAGUUUUUAUAGUUAUAAACAUUAAUAAUUUGUUUCUAAACUACUGUAUAAAUAUAAAAACAUAAAAUAGACUUGGAGUCUGGGAAUUACCUUUUUAACUUUAUAAUUAGCUUUUUAAACUUAUGCCUAUAGCUAAACUCACAUGUAAACUAAUCCUAACCAGAGGUGAUUUACUUUAAUAUGUAUUUUAAUAUAAAUUAAUGUCUAGUAUUGCUCAUAAUUCUGGAUCUUCAUUUCAUUGUUACAGUUCUGUGGUAAAUAUUUGUUGCUUACUGCUUAUGGCAUCUUUUCUCUAGAUGAUUGUUGAGAUAAUACCAUUAAUUUCUCUUUGAGUCUAUGUUCUGUCAUGUUGAAUUAUAUGAAAGAAAUGAAAAAGAAAUGUAUUUCAAUAAUAUAUAGGAAUCUGGAACAGUUCAAUUAAAAGUAAGUUAAAUAAUGUGGUGAGUCUGCAUGAAGUAGUAAACAUGAGGACAUGAAUUUCAAUGGCAGUCUGCAUUCAAUAUUUCAGCACAAAUGUUUUAAACUAUGAUUUUAAAUGUGCAACUUUGUACAUACGUUAUGUGUUGAGUUGCAUACCCACAAAAAGAUAGGUUGAAAUUCUAACCCUCAAUACCUCCAAAUGUAAGCUUACUUAGAAAUAAAAGUCUUUACAAGGUCAACAAGUUUAAAUAAGGUCAUCAUACUCAGCCUUGUGAGCAUGACUGGUGCCCUUGUGAAAAGGGGAAAUUUGGACACAAAGACAGACACAAAUAGAAGGAAGAGGAUGCAAAGAUACACAGGGAUCAUGUCACGUGAAGACCGAAGAUCAGAGCGAUGUAUCUACUACAAGCCUGUGAACAGCGCAGGCUACAAGAAGUGAGCUUCCUAAGAAAGGCAGGGGAAGUUACUUUCGGCGCACCCUCAGAGAGAGCAUGGCCUUGACAACACCUUGCUUGACUGCAGAUUUCUUCACAUCCCCCCCGCCCGCGCAACACUCUCGCCCCUCCCAGGCCCCUGCCGGGCCGAGCUUCGAGGCAAGAAACUGCUUGUUGUUUUGAGCCAUCCAGUUUGUGGUCCUUAGUGACAGCAGUCCUAGGUGUACAAGACAUUUUACUAAAGGUGCUGUUGCAUUUCUGGUGUUUAGCUACCGAUCUUCCAUAAUCUUAAUUAUAUACUUCUUUGCAACUGAAACUGUUCUAUAAAGAUGUCACACCCCUGUGGAAAUAAUCCUGAAUCUGAAGGUAUGACACCACAGGCAUAAGGCAGAUUUUUUUCAUCAGCAGAUUUUAUUGUGUUCUCGUAUAUUCUAUAUAAUGUGUAUUUUAUUUAUGCAGAAAAACUGGAUUAGGGUUUUCCACAGGAAAAUCGAGUGUAAAUUUCUUUUAAAACUAGAAUAAUUUUGUUUUACCUUAUACUGCUUUUUAGUGAGAAAAGAAAUUGUGUUCUUGUACACCUUGAUUUGAAUAUUCAAUAGAAACAUUUUUAUGCUAAUACUGAGUCAAGGUAAAAGAGAUAUACUAAACCACAUCCUACAUACGAUUUGAACCACAGAAACGAAGGCAUUAUAUAAUAUGUAUUAGUUAUAACCAUUCACCAGGAGCAAGUGCAAAAUAAAAAAUAAAGGAAUCAACUAAAAUUUCCACCAUAAAGCAUUCCACUAUAAUUGAGAAACACAUUUUGUAUUUUUUUUUGUACUAAGAAAGUAAAUUCAAUCUUCAAGACACAAUUCCUUGGUUAUUCUUUCAUAUAAAGAAUAUAACCUACUUCCAUAAUAAUUAUAAGAAUAAUGAGUAUGUUUACUUCUUUCUUUCCUUCUCAAAAAUACUUCUUUCUCCUGGGAUUUCCUUUUCUUCUUCAGAUUCAAAAUAAUAGAUUUUUCUCUGAGUCCUUCUUGUGUACUAACUUCAUUCAGUUUUGAAUUCCUCAGAUAUUUUAGUAUUUAAUGAAAAGGCUAAUGUUUACAAAAGAUCAUGUCUAUUAUGCAAUUUUAGAGCAGUUGUGGCCUACUAAGACAUCAGGUGACAGCUCCCAAAGGGAAGGAGGGAGUCAGUUGAGAUGAUCUGGAUGGAGGACAAGAGAAAACAAAUCAAGGAGAACAGCAAACCUAUGUAGACAUAAAGAAUACCAAUCGGUGAUCAGAAGAGGAUCUUAUCCAGGCAAGUUGGACACAAAGCGAAACAUUACAAAGGAUGUGGUUAAGUGUAUAGAUUAUGGAGUCACACCACAUUCAUUGACUGUAUCUUUAAUGGCUGCGUGAUCUAGAGCAUUAGUUUUCUCAUUGUCUAAAAAGAUGUAAUAUUAGUUUAUUGUAGGGAUAAAGGGAGAUGACCUUUUUUAGAGUUCAGUGUUUGUGUGGUACCUUCUAAACAUCUGGUAAUAGCCAAGGGCAGUAGCCCUAAUAAGGCAGGCAAGAACUGAUCCGUUAAGUAAUAAAACUGUCCAAGAAUUUUUUCUGAAUCCCCCCCUUUUUUUUAAUCUAGCUGACUGGAAUGCUCUAUAUGUCUAUUAAAAUAAAAUAUCUAUCAUUUCCAUGUCAUUAUAGAUUGUAUUUUCAUCCAGACCCAAAGCUUUACAUCAAUACCUUGAUAACUCAAAUUUAUAUCUCCAGGUCUGCUGUUCCUUGCCCUUGAGUAUGGGCAGGAUCUGUGACUUGAAUAUGGCAAAGAUAUUGGGAUAUCACUGUUGUAAUUAUGUUACAUAAUAUAAGUCUCCAUCCUGCUAGUUGACUUGUUCUAGAAUCUUGCUUCCCUUGCUGAUUUUAUGGGUUUUUUUCAAGUUUUAAUUUAAAUUCUAGUAAUUUAACAUAUGUGGUAAAAUUGGUUUCAGGUGCAGAAUAUAGUGAUUCAUCAUGUACAUAUAACAUCCAGUGCUCAUCACAAGUGCCCUCAUUAAUACCCAUAAACAACUUAGCCCACACCCCCACUUCCCUCUAUCACCCUCAAUUUGUUCUCUAUCCUUAUCUCUUAUGGUUUGCUUCCCUCUUUUUUUUUCCUUCCCAUAUGUUCAUCUAUUUUAUUUCUUAAAUUCCGCAUGAGUGAAAUCAUAUAUUUGUUUUUCUGACUUAUUUUGCUUAGCAUAAUACACUCUAGCUCCAUCCACAUUGUUGCAUAUGGCAUGAUUUCAAUCUUUUUGAUGGCUAAACAAUAUUCCAUUGUAUAUAACUUUGCUAUUUUUUUAAAAGUUUAUUUAUUUGCUUUGAGAGAGAGAGCGAGCAGGGAAAGAGCAGAGGAAGGGAGAGAGAGAAUCCCAAGCAGGCUUUCCUCCCUGAUAGUCAGACACAGCACUCAAUUUCAUGAACUGCAAGAUCAUGACCUGAGCCAAAAUCAAGAGUUGGACAUGUUAACCAACUGAGCCACCCAGGUGCCCCUAACCUUGCUAAUUUUAAAAAAGCAGGAUCCCAUAAGUCAUUAGGCUGCAAGGAAAUGAAGUCUGCCAAAAACCUGAGCAAGCUUGGAGGCAGACAUAGUUCUCCCAAGAUCAUGUCAAGAUGAGAACCCAGCUGACUGACACAUGUUUGCAGGCCUGUGGAGGACCCAGCUAAGCCAUGUCCAGAUUCCAACCUCACAAAAAUUGUGAAAUAGUAAUUUGUGUGGUUUUUAAAAUUGUUUUAUUUAUUUAUUUAUUUAUUUAUUUAUUUAUUUAUUUAUUUAUUUAUUUAUUUUUGAGAGAGAAAGAGAGAACGUGUGAGCAGAGAAGGGGCAAGAGAGAGGAUGCAAAGUGGGCUUUGGGCUGACAGGAGAGCCCAGGCACUCUAAUUUAUGUUGUUUUAAGUCACUAAAUUUGUGGCAAUUUUUUACGUACCAUAGAAAAUAAAUAUAGGGAUUUAAUAAGCAUCUUCUCACAAAUUUAGACUGUCCAAGAGAGUAGUGAUCCCCCUAACAUUCAAAUAUGCAUCUUCUAGUAUUCCUUAUCUAAGUUGAUGACCCCACCAUUCACCCCAGCUGAUCAGUUAAAACAUUGUGGAACCAAAACAGAUUAAAAACAAAAAAAAUCGGAGAACCAUUCUUGAUGGCUUUGUGCCUCUCAGACUGAAAAAUCCUAUCAGCCUUAUACUUAUGUCCAGAAAAGUAAUACUGGUUAUAAUCAUUUGGUUCUAAUCAUUUGCCUGUGCUCCUGUAAUAACUUCUUUUCUUCAAUUCUUGACCCUCUAGAGGCCAGAGAGAUCCUUUAGCAGGUAAAUCACUGAUCAAUAUCCUGCUCUCAAGUCUUUCAAAUAUUACCAUGAGACUUGAAACAAAAUCCAAAUCAUUUAGAUGAUUUGGAGUCCCAAGUGAUCUGGCCCAUUAUACCAUAUCCUACUUCUUCUUCCCUUAUUCAUUUUGCUCCAGCCAUACUGAUCUUCUUGCCAGUUCUUGAACACUCCAAGCAAAUUCUCUACUAUUGUCCUUCAAUUUGGUAUCCUUUCUGUCUUAAAUAGUCUCCCCUUAUUCUCACAACUUGCAUUCUUUUUUUUCCCCUAAACUUCUACUCACAUGUUAUCUCUUCAUAAAACCCCUUUUAUGAAUGACCCAUCUAAGUUAGAAAACUGUAUGACUCCUAUUUCACCUGCCUUAGGUUUUAUUUUUUUUUAUAGUACUUAUUAAAACUAUCAUUAUCUGGACGCCAGUUGAGCAUUCAACUCUUGAUUUCAGCUCAGGUCAUGAGAUUAGAGCCCAGUUUUGGGCUCUAUGCUGACAGUGCAGAGCCUGCUUGGGAUUCUCUUCUCUCUCUGCCCCUCCCUCCCUCACUCUCGCUUGUGCUCUUUCUAAAAAUAAAUAAAUAAACAUUUAAAAAACAAAAAUAGGGGAGCCUGGGUGGUUCAGUUGGCUAAGUGUCUGACUUGGUUUUGGCUCAGGUCAUUAUCUCACAGUUCAUGAGUCUGAGCCCCACAUUAGACUCUACUAACAGCACAGAGCCUGCUUGGAAUUCUUUCUCUCUUCCCCUUCCCUGCUCACUCUCUAUCUCAAAAUAACUAAGUAAACUUAAGAACCAACCCCCUCCCCCCCAAAAAAAAUAUUAUUAUUGAAAUAGGGAAUCUGAAUGAACCUUAUGAAGUUCUGUUGUUUUCCUGCCCUAUUCAUUCCAGGACCUGUACCCUUGCCUUCCACAUGUCUCAUAGUACCAAUAAUGUAUGCCCUCUUUGUAAGGAUCAGGAGUUAAUGAUUUCUUUGGAGACUUCCAGCACAUUGAUAACAUCUAAGGAAUGACUAGUUGAGAAUAACUAGGUUAGGCCAUCCUGUGUGUAUUCCAGACCACUGGGACUAGAUAUCUAGACACACCCUGGCUGCAAGGAAUAAGCGACUUAUGGAGGACACCCAGACUCUAGUUUUUGUUCUGACCAGUUCCUUGAUGCCUGAGAGGACAUGUACACCAAAUCACAAUCCUGAAUAAAAACCCCAGACCCCAAACAAAAAUUAGACUCUCUCUCCUUUCCCUUCCACAUCUCUCAGAUGCUCUGUCUAUAUCUACACUAUCUAAAUAUCUUCAAUAAACUUUGAUCUCACUUCCUUUUGGCUUGCAUUUGAUUUCUAUCAUGCGUGAAAUCAAGGGUACUCUUCGCUGGUCCUGCGGGAGCCCCUCUGGGUCCUAGAACCCGGUCUGUCUAAAUCAUUAUCACCUAUUACCCAUGUAUAUUGUCUUUUAGGUAGAAUAUAAGUCACAUAAAUACUGGUAACUUGGUUUUGUUCAUUUCCAUAAUCUAGAAUACUACAUGGUAAAAAGUAAGCAGUUGACCAAUUUGGCAUAAAACUGUAGUUGAAAUCAUUUUGGAAUCCUUUCAGGAAAAAAAAUAUUCUGCUAUAGUACUUUGAGAAGUUCCAAGUAUCUCACAGAAAAACACGAGUACAUUUCAAACUUUUAUUGAAAAUUUAAUGCUAACUAAUCACAAAACUAUAUUCUGUCUUCAUCUUUUUGUAUUCUGUUUUAAGAAAUUUUUAAAGUGAAUUAUCCCAUGAAUUAACAAGUAUUCCAAACUACAGCUUGUGACUUCUCUGUCAGCUACAUCUCAACCAUCAUUUUUUACUCUCCAAUGUAUAUUUAAUACAAAGAAAUAGAAAAUAGUGUGGCAGAAAAGUAAAAUAACUUGUUCCCCAAGUAUGUUAACAGUGAGUAUAAAAGUCAGGCUUGUAAUGUUAUCCGACAGAGACCAGAGACUAUGUGCAUGGGGGAUCUGCUUAUGGUGACACAAUCCAUCAUACUGUCAUUGUUUGACAGUCACAGACAAGAGGAGAUACCUAGGAAUUACAAAUGAAUUUUCUCACUAACAAUUUAUAGCAAUUUGCAGAACAUUGUAACUGGCACAUUUUCUUCACAUAAGUUCCUUAUGUUACAAUAAAAAAAGGAUGUUGUUUUUUUAUACUGUUCUUAUUUUAUUCAGGAAGAUAUUUGCCAACAGAGUAGUAUCAUGUGUUAAUAAAUUGAGUCAAAUAAUACUCCCUCUCUUGUCUGAGCCAGUGCUUUUCUGCUUGAGGAAUGAGUAGCUUAGAUGAUUGAUAACAGAAUCCAUAACCUUUCCCCUCCAAGUCACCAGCUUGAACCCAACCUAGUUGAGCAAUGAGAGACAUUUGUUUCCACAGGCAGCUUAUGAGGUUUGCAUGAAAUGAAUGGGUAGUCUCUAUUUGCUUACUGGACCUGAAAUGAUAGUUACUUGAAUUAGAAAUAUAUUCUGCUGUGAGUAAAGACCUAGAUUAUCGUUAUACCAAUAUCCUUUUUUUCAAGGCCCUAAAGUUAAUGUAUGAUAUUGGUUGGCAUUCAGUUUCUGACUAGAAUUUUACUCUCUGAGGCAAGUUUAUAUUCAGUAUUUUCAAUGUUUUCAAUAUUACAUAAGUAUUAUUUUAGAUUUUUAAUAAUUAAAACCUAAACAUGGUAUAGUAAUAAAGGGUAGCAGAAUUCACUACCCCAAAAUAUGUCUCUUUGACAUAAGGAUUAUUUUAAGCUUUUUUUUUUUUAAACUGCAGACAAAGGAAAAGCUCUGUAAACCAAGUAAACCUUUUUGUAAGAGACAUUUACAUUUAUAAGGGAAAUCUCCAUUUGCCAGGGUGUCUGUCUCUCUGUACCAGGAAGAGAAGGAUGACUCUAAAUCUGCAGAAACUCUUAUCAGUGGAGAAGGCAAAAGCCUAAAUCUGCAUAAGAACAUUACCUUGGCUUACAGUGCUUUGCUUGGUAACCUGUCAUGACUGACUCUCCCUUCUUCCCAACAUCCUGGUUUUUUGUUUGUUUUUGUUUUAUUUUGUUUUGUUUUUAGUUGAAGAUAUUAUUUAAGGUGGUGACUUGGGCCAUUUCACAGUUACUUAGUUUUACUGGGUUUUUUCCAUGUAUACAGGAGGUAUACGUGUUAUUAAAAUCGUUUUUAUCCUGUUAAUCUAUCACUUAUUUGAGGGGGUAGGGUUGGGGGGUGUCUAAGCCAAGAGUCUAAAAGGGUAAGGGAAAAUUAUUUUUCUUCCCCCACAAAAAACCAACUAUAUGUAUAAUAAUUAAUGUUUUUGUCUUAAAUUUAUAUUCAGGUCUCAAAAGUUAGAAUAUCACCUUUUGUAAGAUUUAAAUCAUUUUUUUAGUAUUUUUAAUUCAUUUAUUAAUUAAAGAAUUUAAAGUAAACUGAUAAAAGGAUAUAUGUUUUUUAAGUUUAUUUAUUUAUUCUGAGAGACACAGAGAGCACUUGGGGGAAGGGCAGAAAGAGAGGGAGGGAGGGGAUCCCGAGCAGGGUCUGCACUGUCAGCGUGGAGCCUAACAUGGGGCUUGAUCCCACCAACCAUGAGAUCAUAACUUGAGCAGAGAUCAAGAGAAGGACGCUUAACUGACUGAGCCAUGCAGGCAUUCCAUAAAAGGAUAUUUUCUGAAGACAUUUCAAAAUGAAGGAAAUAAUAUCUUCCAAUUGGUGAGUUAGUCAGAAGUGACUCAGGUUAUGUGGGCCCUCCUCUUUCCUAGAAGCUUCCCAAAUGUAUGUAAUGGAAGAAAAAGUUGUUUUCACAGAUAAUUUUUUUAAAAAUAUGUUAUUUAUAAGAGCUCCUUGGUUCUCAAUGUAGCAUCUCUAUAUUCACUAUAGUGGUUAAGGCUGUCAUCUGUCCUUCCUGGCAUGGGGGAGGGUAAGUACUACACUUCCUUGCCGCUAUGGAAGCUAUGUGUGGAUAUGUGAUUUGUCUUUUCUAAGAAAAUGUGAGCAGAAAUGACGUGGCACCUUUCUUGCGGUUGCAGUGAUCAUGGAAAUAUGGAUCCACCUGAUGCAGCUACCCCCUCCCAACUUCAACUCAGGUCAAGAUCUCGCAGUCCGUGAGUUCGAGCCCCGCGUCGGGCUCUGGGCUGAUGGCUGGGAGCCUGGAUCCUGCUUCCGAUUCUGUGUCUUCCUCUCUUUCUGACCCUCCCCCGUUCAUGCUCUGUCUCUCUCUGUCUCAAAAAUAAUUAAACGUUAAAAAAAAAAAAUGCA
Molecule: long non-coding RNA, 18469 nt
Filed under: Lynx pardinus (Iberian lynx)
Lineage: Eukaryota; Metazoa; Chordata; Mammalia; Carnivora; Felidae
Source: RNAcentral